AAUCAGAGUCCACAUAUGUUCGGGGGAGGGACCCCAGAAGGCGGCUGACAGUAUUCCUUUAGCCAGAAAUCCCUUCAGGGAAGAGAAAGGUGCUCCCCUUUGCCUGCUUUUAUACUACAGACUGUUUCCAACUCCAGCUAGAAGUGACUAUUGCCGAUUAUGCUAAUCAGUGGCGACAAGCUCCCUUUGACUGCUCACUUCUCCAGUGAGGCUUCAAGCUUCUAGGCAUCAAGAUUAGUAAGGCUGUCUUCUGGGUGGGCCAGUUUGUUUCUCAGUGACACGAAAACAUUGCCUGGGGUGUGCACUGGUUUUGAAAACAACUAGAUUGCCCAUCUCCAUUUCUCUCUAUCAUCUACUGUAUUAUUCUAUGGACAACUGCCACCCUAAUAAGGAGUGACAUUGUUAUAACAGUGAGAUUGGCUCCUCCACUCUUUUCUUCCUCCUUCCACCAUGGGAUGGUAACAGCAAUAAGGCCCUCACAAGAUGUGAGUGCCUUGCUCUUGGACUUCCCAUACUCUACAACUGUCAAGAAGGGAAGCCAGAAGUCAAGGCCACAGAAGACACAGGAAACAUCAUUUCCAAAGUGGGAGACAAAGCUGUUAACAGGAAAUUAUUUGUAAAGUCAAGAGCCAAGCAAAACAGAAAAAGGACAAGAAAUCUAUCACCUGUGGGUAUGAAUGGUUCUAGGGAAGUCUGUUGACAAUUGGAGGGUCUCAAAGGCGCUUUAUGGUACUUAUUUUAUGACCCUGAGUCUGGAGUCUGAUGAAUUAAAGAGGAAAUUCUGCUCUGGGCAACAUUUAAGAGAUAGUAUCUCCAGGCAGUAACUUUCGUAUUAACUCUCAUAAGAUUGAUGCCAUUCUGUCAUCUAAAGUGUGGACAAAAGUAGCAUUAAAGCAAAAUGAAAGGAUAUACUAA
Long non-coding RNA from Homo sapiens (human), 915 nucleotides. Ensembl annotates it as MIR4307 host gene. NCBI's taxonomy places the organism in Eukaryota, Metazoa, Chordata, Mammalia, Primates, Hominidae. The record is from Ensembl.